GGGGUUCUUACCCAAAAUGGCCCAAUUUCGGACAUUAUGAAAUAAGAUAAAACACUCUAUCCUCACGCGAACAACGCUCUUCCUUUCUCUACACUUCUUAGUGAAGCAACUCCCAUCUUGCUAAAAUCUCUCCCAACGAAUAGGUGUGCGUGAAAAUGUGUUCAAGUAAUUGUUGUGGUAAUAAUGAUAAUGAAGACGAUGAUUUUGAGACCCUGUUGCUCCUCCUAAACAGGGAAGCAUUAGAAGUACCCGCUCACAGGCGAAGCAAACUGUUAAAUCUAUUAAGGCCGGCAAGAUAAAGGCCGAGAGUGACAAUGCAAAUAGUAAAAAGAAAAAGAAGAAGGUUCCAGCUCUAGCCAAAAAGAAGAAGCUGAUGAACAUUUCCAAACCAGGAUUAGUUGUCAUACAAACACAGAGAUUGUCAGCAUUUUGAAGCAAUACUUGACUGAAACACAACAACAAUGUUUCGGGAUAGUUGUUUUGGCUACUUCCUUGACUUGCCUCCAUUCAACAAUCAGAAUCAACUCAUAUAUGCUUUGUUACUUGAAGGAAAUUGCCCUUGGUUGUGAAAAAGAGAUAUGGAUUAAGCUCAAUGGUAAUACCUUGCGAUUUGGCAUCAGAGAAUUUGCUUUGGUUACCCGUUUGAAGUGUUACGAAGAUGAUAACAUUGUGUAUGAUGAGCCAAAAGUCAACAGGUUACUGAAAGAGUAUUUUCCUGGAGAUGAAAAAAAAAUCAGUAACGAGGGAGAGUAUGCUUGAUCGCUUCAAGCAAAAAGGUUAGAACUCAGAUGAGGAUGCGCUCAAAAUGGCCAUACUAGUAUUCGUCCACCAUUUCCUUUUCUCUGAUGCUAAUAAUCAAAGCAUAUUAAAAAAAGAUUUUGAUAUAGUUGAGAGUGGUCAGUAUUAGAGGUAUGCAUGACGCAUAAAAGUAUUUGAAGACAUGUUCAGAACAAUGAGGGAUAAACUGCGUACCAAGUUGAUGAUGUACAGGCUCGAGGGUUUGCCACUUGCAUUCCAAGUAUGGUUUUAUGAGUGUUGCUCCACGGUGACAAAACUCUAGCUUCUUGUGUUGGCAAUAGUGUGCAACACAUCCUUAACUGGAAAGUCAAAUAAGCUCUGACGUUUGUGGACCUAACUAGUGGGAAACUCAUGACUAGUAUUUAUCAGUUGGAGUACCGGAACAUUACCUCUACCAGUGAAGAGAUAUCAAGGCUGAAUCUUGCGGUAUUUUUUUAAGAUGUCAAUUUUGAUCUUCCAUUGGAAGAAGACGUGCCUAACUUUGACAAUAAUCAUUCUAACGUUGCAUCCCCAGUUUAUGCACAGAAGCAACAGCCUCGUCCGAGAUGCAAUAGUUUUGCGAGCCCUGAUGAUUUGAAGGCUGAAAUUAAUGAGUUGAGGCUUGACGUCGGAAAGGUAAUGUAUUAACUUUUCCCUUUUCCAGUUUGUUUUUCAAUGUAAAGAUUCCUCUACCAAGAAAAGGAGGAUGGCGUUCCUGUUUCUGAGAAACAUCAAAAUGUUGAUGAUGAUGAUACAUACGACCACGACGAGUAUCAGCAUUUCGAUGAUCAUGACUUUGCCGCGGAUGCUCCUGAAGGAAAUAUGCCUGUUGAGCAAACUAAGUCAGGUGUCAAGGAAAAUGAGGGAGUACUGGUGGUGUUUCUGGGGCAGCGGAAACACCAGUUGUGAAUGAUUCAAACAUGUGGCAUGACAAUGAACUCACUGAUGAAGUUUUGACCAAGUUAAAUAUUUUCCAAAUUGUGCUUCAUUAGCAACAUGCCAAAAACAAGACAUGGCACCUGAAGAAUUGGCUCGGAAAAAGUUUCGAGCAAAAUGUGUUUCUUCUCCAUUUGUGGUAGAUUUUGGUUCUAAUAUAAGUUGCACAUCAAAGUCAGCGCCCAAGUGCAUUUUUGAGGAGAAGUGUCAUUUUUGUGAACAACGUUGAUGAGUUUGAUCCCUAUUCACCUGAGGGUAGAGCAUUUGCUGAGUUUGUUGAUGAUGGGAUGAUUUCAACACAAAGGUAGCUUCAUUGUUUUAAGAAUUUUCUUUUCUUUUACAAUGAUCCGUAUGUGUUGAUUAUUUUUCAUUUUCAUGAUUUUAAAGCGCCAAAGAGAUUUAUCCCGAGGAAAAAAAUAAUCUUCCCGUGCCUUUUAUAUUUGGAUCAAUUUAUGUGACAAAGAGGGAUUGUUUCCACACUAUUUCAUACAGUGAUCAACUUUUAUCUGACGAGGUAUAUGAUUUUCUUAUAAUUUUCAAUGUUUCUAUAUCAGAUGAAUCGUGAAUUAGAGGGUUAUGGAACAGUGUAUAAAUAUGCAUAUGAAUCGUGAAUUAGAGGGUCUCUUUGUUUCCAGCUAAUAUAUCAUUGUCCUAUACGCCGAAUAACUCGUCAACUAAAAUAAAACUUUUGCAGAAUAAAGGAAAUAAGCGCCUGAAUCAUGUAGAAGGUUCUUUUAUCUGCUACUGCUGCUAUAAUAUUAUUUUACUCAUGUAGUUUCAGUUUCUAUGCUUUUAUUUGUGUUAUAGUAAUAGAUUUUUUGAUGUUUGAAACUUUAAAGAAGAUGAAAUAUGGUGUUUGAAGAAGGGACAAGUGCCUGAGUCAUCUAGAAGGUUCUUUUAAUUUAUCUGUUACUGUUCGUAUGAUAUUACUCUAGUUUUGCUGUUACUACAUUUUUUUUUUUUUGGGUUUAUUGUGGAUUGUUGGGUCUGAAUUUGUUGCAUGUUAGUGUUUUGAAAUCUGUGGUUUUGCCCCAAGUCAAUGUAUGUUGAAUUUUGUGUACUUACAUUAGUUACUUUAAAGGGUUCAAAAUGGAGUAAAAUAGAUACUAAGGAUUUAUAUUGCCAACCCAAACUUGUUCAUUGUUGCGCUUGUUUUAGCUUGGUAUUUCAAUGGUGAGUCUUUUGGGGUUGGUGAGUCUUUUGGGGUUUAUACCUUUUUUAGCAUAUUUGUUGCUCUUGAAAUUAGUUAAAUUGAUGUCAAUUGAGCAUAUUUGUGAUCUGAAAUUUAUGUAAGCUAUAUUUGUUUUUUGAAUUCAACUGAAUACUUUAAAUUAGAGGUGAUAGAGAAGUUGGAAAGUGUUGAUGAAUGUUUCUCUUGCUGCGGGUUGUUCAGGAUGGAGUUUAGUUGCUGUUUAGCAAGUUCUAAAGUUUCUUUGGGUUGAUUCACUAAUGAUUAUUACUUUACUUCUAUUUUCCGAUCUCGGCACAUUGAUGUCAUAUUUUACUAUUUGAGAAAAAAAGGUAAAUAUGAUCCUACUGUUGAUGUACGGUUCACGACAACUGGCUGGUUUUUUGGUGGUAAGAUUGCUGAAUUCUAUGAUAAGUAUGUCAAGGCUAACCAUGCCGCUGCUAUUAUUCCUGAAGUUAAUGAGAUAUCUCAGUAUAUUCAAGUCUUUUACUGUGACGCAAAUGUACCAUGGGACACAGUUGAUCAUGUGUUAAUCCAGAUUCAUGUCAAGCGUGGAAAAAAAGAUACAGGUCACUGGGUCUUGAGUGUGCUUACGUUCAAGGAUAGGUGCAUCCACGUAUAUGACUCUAACCAUGGUGCUUUGAAUGAUUCUUUUGUUACAAAAGCACUUACCCCAAUUCUUGAUAAGUAACAGAUUCUAUGGCAAGAGGAGCGACAUUGAUUUAAAAAAUGAUGCAUACGCCGAUAGAGCACUAUCUGACCCAUUGUUGGUCAAUUUGGUCACUGAUCUGCCACAUCAGUUCAAUGCAUAAGUUCUUUUUUUUUUUUUUUUUUUUUUUUUUAAAUCAUGAUAUUUUGUGUAUGUACAGUAGCUUAUGUGAAAUUUUGGUGCUUACAGGGAUUGUGGUGCUUUUAUUGCUGCCUUCGCUGAGUAUUUCAUCAUGGGGAAAACAUAGACAAGAAGAAUUUCAACAUCGACACAUAUUACGCAAGAAUUGGAUCCCAGUUGUGGCAAUAUGGAUUGAAGAAACAACAGCUUGGUGUCGUGAGCGAUGAUGAGGUCAAGGACAGGAUCGACAAGAAGAAGAAGAAGAAGAAGAGGGGGCGGCCAAAAAAGCCGAGAAACGUAGUUCAUUUGUAGUUUCAGUGUACUUAUUAGGAGUAUUUGAUGUUAUGUUUUGUUAAAGUACCGCUUUUGAUGAAUCAUAAUACCUUUUUGCUAUUCGCGAAAGCAAAAAACUACUGUGACUAGUUAGUUUGUUAUGGAUAUUUUGUGUAAUUGACUCUUGUAAAAAUCUGAAGGCAUGGACCAAUUAUGGAAUUAUGAUUUUGUAUUUGUUUGCUCUUACCGAAUGAUGGUUAGUCA
Long non-coding RNA from Lycium ferocissimum, 4268 nucleotides. RefSeq lists it as uncharacterized. The transcript is spliced from 7 exons. Lineage: Eukaryota; Viridiplantae; Streptophyta; Magnoliopsida; Solanales; Solanaceae. The record is from RefSeq and is a predicted model, not a curated record.